This 199-nucleotide ribosomal RNA is filed under the name uncultured bacterium. RNAcentral's name for it is "partial 16S ribosomal RNA". It matches the Rfam family "Bacterial small subunit ribosomal RNA", at positions 1302 to 1500 of the family's 1533-position model. The record is from RNAcentral.
AGGCUGCAACUCGCCUGCAUNAAGUCGGAAUUGCUAGUAAUCGCAGAUCAGCAUGCUGCGGUGAAUACGUUCCCGGGCCUUGUACACACCGCCCGUCACACCAUGGGAGUCGGUAACACCCGAAGUCGGUAGUCUAACCGAAAGGAGGACGCCGCCGAAGGUGGGAUUGAUGACUGGGGUGAAGUCGUAACAAGGUAUC